CACAAGCGGUGGAGUAUGUGGUUUAAUUCGAUGCAACGCGAAGAACCUUACCUGGUCUUGACAUCCCGGAGACCCUUAGGAAACUAGGGGGUGCUUCCAUCUGGAAGAAUCUGGAGACAGGUGCUGCAUGGCUGUCGUCAGCUCGUGUCGUGAGAUGUUGGGUUAAGUCCCGCAACGAGCGCAACCCUUGCCUUUAGUUGCCAGCAGUUCGGCUGGGCACUCUAAAGGGACUGCCGGUGUUAAACCGGAGGAAGGUGGGGAUGACGUCAAGUCCUCAUGGCCUUUAUGACCAGGGCUACACACGUACUACAAUGGCCGAUACAAAGGGCAGCGACACUGCGAGGUGAAGCCAAUCCCGUAAAAUCGGUCUCAGUCCGGAUUGGAGUCUGCAACUCGACUCCAUGAAGUUGGAUUCGCUAGUAAUCGCGCAUCAGCCAUGGCGCGGUGAAUACGUUCCCGGGCCUU
This 465-nucleotide ribosomal RNA is filed under the name uncultured Desulfobulbus sp. RNAcentral's name for it is "bacterial SSU rRNA". It matches the Rfam family "Bacterial small subunit ribosomal RNA", at positions 924 to 1382 of the family's 1533-position model. Lineage: Bacteria; Pseudomonadati; Thermodesulfobacteriota; Desulfobulbia; Desulfobulbales; Desulfobulbaceae. The record is from RNAcentral.